UCUGAAGGUAUAGCUGAAGCAUCAGCUCUGAUAUUCUUUCUGAGAAUGGUGUCUACAUACUCUAAAGUAUAGUAUGUACUUUGAAUCAAAUAACUUUAUAUAGUUCUGUGACCCCAAGAGGAAGAAUAUGAGUCCAAGAACCAAAUGGUACAAGCAGGACCAGGGCUACCUAUCCUCAUUUCCAAUAAUCCACUUGACGAAUUUGUUUUUCUCAUACCCACAGCCCUAGGUUCAACAGCAUUAAGAAUUCAUGGUCUCUAAAGAGAGGAUACUUCUUUCAGAGAAUUAAGAAAGAGCCCCGUUCAUUUAUAAAUUAUGGCUGCUCUCUGAGCACUUGGACAGGAACCAGCAGUAAGAAGUCAGCCUAGCACUGACCAGCACUGAACCCUGACUCCUGGGAGAAAGUAGGGCUACUAUGACACAAUAGAAGCAGAGAGGAAUAUAUUCGAUCUCAGACUAAGGAACACCUUGCUAUUCCCCUGCCCUAUUGUGAUGUUAAAUGGACAAGUGCAGCUAUCACAGUCUGAGAAGCUGCGAUGAUCACAGUCUCAGACCCCCCUCAGGGAUGUGAUCUUGAUACCUACACCUGAGAAACCAGUAAGGCCAGUAAAGGUAUUGACUGAAGUGAGGAGAAAUCUAGGAAGGAUGGUGGAGGAGGUAGACUACGGCAAUUUGUGACGCCCAAGUUAGCUACAAUGGAACUAUAGUUUGGCCAGUCAUCUUCUCUUACAUUUGUCUCAGGAAGAGAGAUCCAACCAGAUGCCUAGUGGACUUCUUCCUACACAUAAGAAAUGAAUCCAGGCAGUGCUGACAUGGAUAUACAACAUUGGGAUGGACAUGGAUAUAUAACAUUGGGAUGGACAUGGAUAUAUAACAACAUUCACAUGGCCUUCAAGAAAGGAUGUGCUGCUCAGUUUCAAGAAGGUUGUCAGCAGACAGUCUUCAGGUAUCAGCUACUUCAGGCACUGCUUCAUCUGAAGAGAGUCAGCUUACUUAUGGACAUGUCCUUUCCGAGGGGGUCCAUGUCCAAUGACUGACAAAGAUGUGACUUGGAAGAGGAAAGCUAAUUAGUGGCUGCGAUUCACUGAAGGACGCUGGGAUUAAAAGUAAUCUGAUUCUCUGAGAAGACUAUCAUUUCCAAGACAUGAGCCCUGGAUUUAGAAUAAAAGGACCUGCUUUUUGUACUGAUUCCACUUAUUAUU
This is a long non-coding RNA of Canis lupus familiaris (dog), 1202 nucleotides long. RefSeq lists it as uncharacterized. The transcript has 3 exons. Lineage: Eukaryota; Metazoa; Chordata; Mammalia; Carnivora; Canidae. The record is from RefSeq and is a predicted model, not a curated record.